This 547-nucleotide ribosomal RNA is filed under the name Scelotes sexlineatus. RNAcentral's name for it is "partial 16S ribosomal RNA". It matches the Rfam family "Bacterial large subunit ribosomal RNA", at positions 1812 to 2627 of the family's 2925-position model. Lineage: Eukaryota; Metazoa; Chordata; Lepidosauria; Squamata; Scincidae. The record is from RNAcentral.
AACAUAGCCUUUAGCCUAAUAAGUAUUAAAGGUCCCGCCUGCCCAGUGAUAAUUUUAACGGCCGCGGUAUUCUAACCGUGCAAAGGUAGCGUAAUCACUUGUCUUCUAAAUAAAGACUAGUAUGAACGGCUAAAUGAGGAUAAACCUGUCUCUUGUAAUUAAUCAGUGAAACUAAUCUUCCAGUACAAAAACUGGAAUACCAACAUAAGACGAGAAGACCCUGUGGAGCUUUAAACCAACCACUAACACACCAACCUAGUGCAUGGUUUUAAGUUGGGGCGACUUUGGAACAAAACAAAACUUCCAAGAACAGAACCACACAUUCUAACCAAGGCCAACAAGCCAAAACACAUGACCCAGUAACACUGAUCAACGAACCAAGUUACCCCAGGGAUAACAGCGCCAUCUUCUUCAAGAGCCCAUAUCGACAAGAAGGUUUACGACCUCGAUGUUGGAUCAGGACACCCAAAUGGUGCAGCCGCUAUUAAAGGUUCGUUUGUUCAACGAUUAAUGUCCUACGUGAUCUGAGUUCAGACCGGAGCAAUCC